GGGUUUUUCUGCUCAUUAUUAGCUCCUUCUGAUGCCAUUCUAUUUCAGGAAGGAGUGUCCGUUAAACUCAGGCUACCUCAGUUUGUUAUCCUGUCGUGUGGCAGAAGGACAAAAGCCCCGUAGUUAAUUUUCAUUAACCCACGAGGCCUCUGCAUGUCUAGUCCACGUUAGUAUGGCCUCUUACCGUGCAAAUUGCAAGGAGGAGUAAACCAUG
RNAcentral lists this antisense RNA (214 nucleotides) under Shigella dysenteriae Sd197. Its description in RNAcentral is "sok antitoxin (CssrC)". It matches the Rfam family "sok antitoxin (CssrC)". From Rfam's summary of the family: Also identified in Shigella as CssrC. Lineage: Bacteria; Pseudomonadati; Pseudomonadota; Gammaproteobacteria; Enterobacterales; Enterobacteriaceae. The record is from Rfam by way of RNAcentral.